AUUGAACGCUGGCGGCAUGCCUUACACAUGCAAGUCGAACGGCAGCACGGGAGCUUGCUCCUGGUGGCGAGUGGCGAACGGGUGAGUAAUACAUCGGAACGUGCCCAGUAGUGGGGGAUAGCCCGGCGAAAGCCGGAUUAAUACCGCAUACGACCUACGGGUGAAAGCGGGGGACCGUAAGGCCUCGCGCUAUUGGAGCGGCCGAUGUCUGAUUAGCUUGUUGGUGGGGUAAAAGCCCACCAAGGCGACGAUCAGUAGCUGGUCUGAGAGGACGAUCAGCCACACUGGGACUGAGACACGGCCCAGACUCCUACGGGAGGCAGCAGUGGGGAAUUUUGGACAAUGGGGGCAACCCUGAUCCAGCAAUGCCGCGUGUGCGAAGAAGGCCUUCGGGUUGUAAAGCACUUUAAGUCGGGAGGAAGGGCUGUAGGUUAAUACCUUGCAGCCUUGACGUUACCGACAGAAUAAGCACCGGCUAACUUCGUGCCAGCAGCCGCAGUAA
This 502-nucleotide ribosomal RNA is filed under the name uncultured bacterium. RNAcentral's name for it is "partial 16S ribosomal RNA". It matches the Rfam family "Bacterial small subunit ribosomal RNA", at positions 30 to 523 of the family's 1533-position model. The record is from RNAcentral.